RNAcentral lists this ribosomal RNA (253 nucleotides) under uncultured bacterium. RNAcentral's name for it is "partial 16S ribosomal RNA". It matches the Rfam family "Bacterial small subunit ribosomal RNA", at positions 524 to 776 of the family's 1533-position model. The record is from RNAcentral.
UACGUAGGGAGCAAGCGUUGUCCGGAAUCAUUGGGCGUAAAGAGCGCGUAGGCGGUCCGGUAAGUCGGUUGUGAAAACUGGGGGCUCAACCCUCAGAGGCCGACCGAUACUGCCGGGCUAGAGUCCGGAAGAGGCGAGUGGAAUUCCUGGUGUAGCGGUGAAAUGCGCAGAUAUCAGGAGGAACACCGGUGGCGAAGGCGGAUCUCUGGGCCAUUACUGACGCUGAGGAGCGAAAGCGUGGGGAGCGAACAGG